AUAGCAUCUAAAGAAUGCCUUUCACUUACACUGAAAAGAGAGUCUAUAAACUUAUUUUGA
Molecule: transfer RNA, 60 nt
Filed under: Lamellibrachia columna
Lineage: Eukaryota; Metazoa; Annelida; Polychaeta; Sabellida; Siboglinidae
Description: tRNA-Val
Source: RNAcentral